GCAGUGUGCAGACAGCUUUGCCUCGCGCGCUCUCGACACCACAGAAGUGUUUCUCGGCAUCCGCGCGCCUCCAUGGACGAAUGCUGUGGAAGAAAAUGGAGUCCAGUAGACUGAUGAUGUCAGGUACUACUUCUGACUAAUUCUUUACUAUCUAGAACUAUCCAGAAUGUAAUUCAGCAAUGUAAUUGAGUCCUCACAGUAGUUGUGUUUUUCUGCCGACUAAUAUCCAAGGUUCAAUAAGCUCUCAUGUUAUGCUGCAGAAAUAUUUAACUUUGUGCACUGUGUGCAAAACCGUGCACCCUUACUAAAUAACUGAAUUUGUAAUGAUGGUAUUAAUGCUUCAGGGUCUGUCUGUACACACAAGAAACAGACUGAAACAGACUCCUCUUUAACUCUUUUUAUCCAAAUGAUGAAACCAAAUAUUAAUACUAUUGUAAAAAAAAAAAAAAAAAUAA
This is a long non-coding RNA of Haplochromis burtoni (Burton's mouthbrooder), 455 nucleotides long. RefSeq lists it as uncharacterized. NCBI's taxonomy places the organism in Eukaryota, Metazoa, Chordata, Actinopteri, Cichliformes, Cichlidae. The transcript has 2 exons. The record is from RefSeq and is a predicted model, not a curated record.